GACGAACGCUGGCGGCGUGCUUAACACAUGCAAGUCGAACGGAAAGGCCCUGCUUUUGUGGGGUGCUCGAGUGGCGAACGGGUGAGUAACACGUGAGUAACCUGCCCUUGACUUUGGGAUAACUUCAGGAAACUGGGGCUAAUACCGGAUAGGAGCUCCUGCUGCAUGGUGGGGGUUGGAAAGUUUCGGCGGUUGGGGAUGGACUCGCGGCUUAUCAGCUUGUUGGUGGGGUAGUGGCUUACCAAGGCUUUGGCGGGUAGCCGGCCUGAGAGGGUGACCGGCCACAUUGGGACUGAGAUACGGCCCAGACUCCUACGGGAGGCAGCAGUGGGGAAUAUUGCACAAUGGGCGGAAGCCUGAUGCAGUAACGCCGCGUGCGGGAUGACGGCCUUCGGGUUGUAAACCGCUUUCGCCUGUGACGAAGCGUGAGUGACGGUAAUGGGUAAAGAAGCACCGGCUAACUACGUG
Molecule: ribosomal RNA, 468 nt
Filed under: uncultured bacterium
Lineage: Bacteria
Description: partial 16S ribosomal RNA
Rfam family: Bacterial small subunit ribosomal RNA
Source: RNAcentral